CCUACGGGGCGCAGCAGUAGGGAAUCUUCCACAAUGGGCGAAAGCCUGAUGGAGCAACGCCGCGUGGGUGAAGAAGGUCUUCGGAUCGUAAAACCCUGUUGUUAGAGAAGAAAGUGCGUGAGAGUAACUGUUCACGUUUCUACGGUAUCUAACCAGAAAGCCACGGCUAACUACGUGCCAGCAGCCGCGGGAAUACGGAGGUGGCAAGCGUUAUCCGGAUUUAUUGGGCGUAAAGGGAACGCAGGCGGGCUUUUAAG
Molecule: ribosomal RNA, 257 nt
Filed under: uncultured bacterium
Lineage: Bacteria
Description: partial 16S ribosomal RNA
Rfam family: Bacterial small subunit ribosomal RNA
Source: RNAcentral